GGCAGGUCAGUGCACAUAUUUCUUUUCAUAUUCUCAUGCCUUGGGUUGGUUUGAAUAGAGUCUACAAUUAUACACUUGACCCAUGUGGUCCUAUUUACAUAACAGUUGGAGAUGGCGGAAACAUAGAAACAACUGAUGUUGAUCAUGCAGAUGACAAAUGUCCACACAGAAUACUUACCAGAAAUUGUAGUGGCAUGUAGUGCUGGCAACUCAGGUCCAACUCCUUCAACUGUCACUAAUGUGGCUCCAUGGAUCAUCACUGUUGCUGCAAGUAGCAUUGAUAGAGUUUUUCCUUCACCCCUUGUGCUAGGAAAUCAAAUGAAAAUUCAGAUUACUGACAGGUGCGAUUCUUGCUCAUGAGUUAAUGUGUGGGUGGUUACGCCUUAAAGUCAUAUUCUAGGUAAUUGUUGCUUCUGGAGCUGUGAAGCAUGAGGACUUUGUUGAGCAAGUGAAGAAGUUGUUUACCAAAUUGUCAUCGGAUCCAACCACAACUUCUGAAUUAGUUGCCAAAGGGCCAGCAAUUUUUUCAGGAUUUUUUGUGUUAAAAUCCUUUGAUUUUUUAUUUCUCUUAUUUUUUCUUUUUUUCCUUGGAUCUGACAGUGGGUGUUUUGGUUCACUUCUUAUUUUUUGUAUUAAAUGGGGGAGUGGUGAGAGAGAGAGGAGGGUAAUGUUAUUUUGUGGCUUUGUAUAUAAGGUAGUAAUUUUUUGAUUGAGAAUUGUGAAUUCAAUUUUUGGAUA
Camellia sinensis is the source of this 738-nucleotide non-coding RNA. The record is from RefSeq and is a predicted model, not a curated record. NCBI's taxonomy places the organism in Eukaryota, Viridiplantae, Streptophyta, Magnoliopsida, Ericales, Theaceae.